Molecule: ribosomal RNA, 429 nt
Filed under: Chloroflexota bacterium
Lineage: Bacteria; Bacillati; Chloroflexota
Description: Chloroflexi bacterium partial 16S ribosomal RNA
Rfam family: Bacterial small subunit ribosomal RNA
Source: RNAcentral
UGGGGAAUAUUGCACAAUGGGCGCAAGCCUGAUGCAGCCAUGCCGCGUGUAUGAAGAAGGCCUUCGGGUUGUAAAGUACUUUCAGUCGGGAGGAAGGUGGUAAGGUUAAUAACCUUAUCAAUUGACGUUACCGACAGAAGAAGCACCGGCUAACUCCGUGCCAGCAGCCGCGGUAAUACGGAGGGUGCAAGCGUUAAUCGGAAUUACUGGGCGUAAAGCGCACGCAGGCGGUUGAUUGAGUCAGAUGUGAAAGCCCCGGGCUUAACCCGGGAAUUGCAUCUGAUACUGGUCAGCUAGAGUCUUGUAGAGGGGGGUAGAAUUCCAUGUGUAGCGGUGAAAUGCGUAGAGAUGUGGAGGAAUACCGGUGGCGAAGGCGGCCCCCUGGACAAAGACUGACGCUCAGGUGCGAAAGCGUGGGGAGCAAACAGG